This 460-nucleotide ribosomal RNA is filed under the name uncultured bacterium. RNAcentral's name for it is "partial 16S ribosomal RNA". It matches the Rfam family "Bacterial small subunit ribosomal RNA", at positions 338 to 795 of the family's 1533-position model. The record is from RNAcentral.
CCUACGGGUGGCAGCAGUGAGGAAUAUUGGUCAAUGGGCGGAAGCCUGAACCAGCCAAGUAGCGUGCAGGAUGAAGGCCCUACGGGUUGUAAACUGCUUUUAUACGGGAAUAACGCGCCUUACGUGUAGGGCUUUGCAUGUACCGUAUGAAUAAGGACCGGCUAAUUUCGUGCCAGCAGCCGCGGUAAUACGUAAGUUCCGGGCGUUAUCCGGAUUUAUUGGGUUUAAAGGGAGCGUAGGCCGCAUAUCAAGCGUGCUGUGAAAUGUCCGGGCUCAACCCGGGCCUUGCAGCGCGAACUGGCGUGCUUGAGUCCGCAGAAGGCAGGCGGAAUUCGUCGUGUAGCGGUGGAAUGCUUAGAUAUGACGAAGAACCCCGAUUGCGAAGGCAGCUUGCUGCAGCGGAACUGACGCUGAGGCUCGAAAGCGCGGGUAUCGAACAGGAUUAGAUACCCGUGUAGUC